CUUUAUUAUUUAAUUAUUUUUUAUUAUAUUAACUAGACUUCUAAAAUAUAUGGUAGGAGAAUUAAUUAAUAUUUUCCUUUCUACUCGAUUUUCGUAGGAGAAUUAAUUAAUAAUUUUCUUUCUAUUGUUUGAUUAGAAAAAUACUCAUAAAAUAGGACUCUAUUAAGAAAAUACUCUAUAAAUAUUAAUUAUUUUAUUAUUUUACUUUAAUUUACAGAUGUUAGAUAAAUGUGGGUCGGCUUUGAAUUUUUUUUACAUAAAUGUUAGGUUAAUUGUAUUAUCGUAAUAUCUAUAUUAAUUUGUUAUUUUAUGAUAGUUUACAGUUUGUAGAUGAAUCUCGAUUGGUUUUUAGAAAUUUUUAUGUGUAAAAUUUAAGUUUAAUUGUAUUAUUUUUAUAUCACUUUUAUCGUAUUAUUUUGUUGCAAUUUAUAGGUGAUAGAUAAAUGUUGGUCCGCUUUGAGAAUUUUUUUAUGUAAAAGUUAGGUUUAGUUGUAUUAUUUUGAUAUCUCUAUUAUUGUAUUACUUUGUUAUUGUUUACAGAUGUUAGGUGAGUGUCGAACGAUUUUGAAAAUUUUUUUGUGUGUAAAGAUUAGAUUUAGUUGUGUUAUUUUGAUAUCUCUAUCAUUAUAUUAUUUUGUUAUAAUUUAUAGAUGGGAGAUGAAUGUCGAUCGACUUCUAAAAAUAUUUUGGUAAAGAUUAGGUUUAAUAAAUAAAUUCUCCAUCUUUACAUACUUAAAAGAUAUUAGUUUUUUUCUUCCUUUUUUUUUUUGCUUUUUUUGUUUUCUCUUUUUUCUUUCUUUUUUCAAUUUUUUCUUUCUCGUUAUCUUUUUUCCAUUUUGUCUUUUUUUCUUCUUUUUAUUUUUCUUUUUUCUUUUUUUUUUGUUUUUGUACUGAUCAAUUGGAGAAAUAAUCCUAAAAUAGUAUAGAAAAAUACUUCUAAAACAGGAUUCCACUAAGUAAAUACUUCUAUAAAUAUUAAGAUUCACGUUAAACUAGAGAAAAAAUGAAUUUACUUAUUGGAAAAAUAUGAUAGAUGCUCAUCUAACUUGAUUCAGUUGCAUGUCUAGAUUCGUGGAUGCUUAAUUUUCUAGCCCUCAACUUCUUCACUAUUUUUGUCAACAUAAUAAAAUUCAACAUGUGUGUAUAUAUAUAUAUCUUCUUUGCUUUCAUUCAAGUCAUUCUUUAGUGUCAAAAUUUUUGCUCAGACAAGAAUUAUUUUCAUCAAAACUGAAAUUUUGUGAUCACUAUUGUAUUAUUCUGUUGUAGUUUACAGGUUGUAGAUGAAUUUACAGGUGGUAGAUGAAUAUUGGUCAGCUUUGAGAGGUUUAAUUGCAUUGUUUUUAUAUCUCUGUUUUGCAAAUUUUUUUGUGUAAAGAUAAAGUUUAGCUGUAUUAUUUUGAUAUCUCUAUUGUCAUAUUAUUUUGUUAUAGUUUAAAGGUGAUAGACGAGUGUCGGACGGCUUUGAAUUUUUUUGUGUGUAAAGGUUAGAUUUAAUUAUAUUGUUUUGAUGUCUCUACCAUCUUAUUGUUUUGUUGUUGUUUAUAGGUGGUAGAUGAAUGUCGAUCGGCUUUGAGAAAUUCUUUUGGUAAAGGCUAGGUUUAAUUAAAUCAAUUCUCCAAAAGAUGUUAAAUUUAAUUAUUGUAUUUAUCUUUAUUAUUUAAACAAAUUUGAACUCGAUAAAGUGAGGUACACUAAACUAGUUUUAUAAUACAUGGUAACCCACUUUUACUAAUAUUAUUUACAACAGUGGCUUUUAUGGCUUUGAUUAUUUUUUUGAGAUAAGCAUCCAGUAUUGCCUCGAACUAUGGUCAAAGUUGUUACGACACACUCCAACUUCACAGAGAUCCUAUUACCCCUGAACUCAAUUUUAGCAUAUUUUUGUCACUCUUUUAUGCUGAUGUAGCACGUUUAUUAUAUAAAAGCGGCUCCACGUCAAAGAUGCCACGUCGGCUAAAAAGAUUGACAAAAGAUGUUAUGGCAGCACAAAAGAGUGACAAAAAUAUGCUAUAACUGAGUUCAGGGGUAAUAGGAUCCCCUGAAUUUGGAGUGUGUCGUAGCAAAUUUGGUCAUAGUUUAGGAGUAGUAGAUGCUUUACUCUAUUUUUUGAAAAAACUUGGUUUGAAUUUAGAUGCAACCUAUUUAGAAGAAGAAAGAAGUAUACAAAGACUUAUGUUGUCAAAAAAUUUUCUUUGGAAGGUAACUUUUGUUCUUGUUUGAAAGAACUACAAUGCUUUAUUUAUAACUCUUAGCAAAUGGUCUAGCUCUGCCUCUGCAAGGGGGUGUAAUAUAGAAGACCUACCCUUAUGCAAGCCGAUUCUAUGGCCCCAUUCCAAUGACUUUUAGGUCACAAAGCGACACGUAUGUAAGCAGCCUACCCUAACACUGCUUCCAAUGCUCAAACCUGUGACCUAUAGAUCACAUGGAGAAUUGCAUAACUGCCACCAUCAACAACUAAUUCCACGACACAAACCUAUGACUGGCAUAUAUGUAAGCAACCUAUACGGAUGUGCAAGGAACAGUAUGACUUCGCAGCUCGAACUCGUGAGCUAUAAGUCACAUGUAAACUUUAUUGUCAGCCUAUCCUGCUGUUCAGGUACUAAUGAGUGAUUUGGAAGACUCGAGCUAACGAACAAUUGUCCUUGCUCCAAAGCCAGAGAAAAAUGAUUCUCCUAAUGUACAGAGUGUGAUGGUGCAGUAUACUUUCUUAAUUCUUACUAUUGAAAAGGGCAGCCCGUUGUGCUAAAGCUCCCGCUAUGCGCAGGGUUUGGGGAAGGGUCCCACCACAAGGGUGUAUUGUACGCAACUUUACCUUGCAUUUCUGGCAGAGGCUGUUUCCAAGGUUUGAUCUCGUAACCUCCUGGCCACAUGGCAACAACUUUAUCGGUUAAUCCAAGGCUCCCCUUCAAAAGCAGCGUCGACAAAAAUCGUUUGACUGGUGAAGGGGAAGAAUACCUUCAACUACUAGGGAUGGAUUUCAAAUAAAAAGAAAACAAUAAUAAUCAAGAGGAGUAUAGAACUAAUGUAUUCAUUUAUCCCAACUUCCCUCUUUGAGAGAACCAUAGAAAAGUACUCUUGAGCAGUUCCAUAGUCAUUUACAUUAGCAUUAGCAUUCCUUGAGUAUGAAGAAGAAUAUAUACGAGUGAAAACAAAGAAGAGACUCUCCAGGUCAAAAUUCCUAAAUGGUAUGUAGAACAAAAAGGAUUAGCGCUAUGUAUAUACUCGUAAAGCUUUACCAAUCGUUGCUUAUUCUGCUGCUGUCGAUGGUGCUUUGGCCAAACUGUUAGCAAUCAGUUCUUCUGAAGACGAAUCCUCAAACUUGGGGACAAAGCUCAUUGUGUAGUGGAACUCAAUUUGUAGGCGCUGAUGAAGGGGUGUCUAUGCCAUCAAUCCUUUCUUUACAUCAACUUGUAACUCCCUAAUAGGGAUUGCUGCCAAAAAACUCUUAAUGUACUCUUUACAUGCCUCUUUACCUAUAUAAAUGAUGUUCUUUUCAGAUACCUUGUCUUCCUGCAUACUGUCGUCGCUGUUGGUGCUCAUGAAAAUUUUGCUUUCAUCCGCAGCCUCUUUGACAUUGGUUUUCUCUUUUCUAUCGCAAGAUGGCUUAUCAUCUGAUUGUUGAGACUCACUAGGUGCUUGCAUAAUUGUUGUAUCAUGGUCGAAUUUGAUGAUAUAUGCCUGAUUACAACCCUCAAAAAGCAUCUCCCCAAGUGUGUCAAUGAUAUAGUACUCGUCUUUUUCAACCUUGAGGAUAAAGAAGUGGUCAUUCCAUCUCACAAUGUAAACACAAGAGAUGCCAUGACGAGGAGUUUCUUGAGCAGACUUAGAAAUCUCGUCCCAUAUGUUGUCAAAAGACAUGGAACCAUAAAGGAAGUGGAAUCCUUCCUCUUCUUCGAUUCCUUCGGGAUGAAAGAACCCAAUGAAUGAUUUUUCUAAGACGACUGAGAGUGGACGCACUUUAGCCUCAAGAACUGUCUCGAGGUCAAAAUGCUUAUCUGGGAAACGUUCCCUAUAGGUCUCAUUUUCACAAAGAUCCCUCCACUGCAUCGAGCCUUCACAGAUAAGAGAAUCAAGUUGGGAUUUGAUAGGCAUAUCUUCAGGAUUGCAGUGGAACGAAUCAGUUAUGACAGCAACCAAGUUUGUACAAGCGCUUUCACCAGUAGCUCGUUUACUUCGUUGAUCAAUCGAAGCAAAGAAGAUCGGAGUCUGCAGCUUUAUUUAUCCAUCACGGCUUAUUAUUUCUUUUUGCUCCCAACUACCCACAGCAAAACUUUCAUCUCAAAACUUAGAGACUGAAAUCGGAGAAGUUUCCUCAGAUUUGUGCCCCUGUAUGAACUACACACAUUAGUAAGAGGACUAGUUAUGACAUAUAUCUUCAAUCAUGAACAAGAAAACCUCAGCAGUUAGAUACUUGAUACAACUGUACAAGUAGACUAAGCUACUAAAGAAAGCUACCAAACUUUGUAUUCUUCAAUUCGGCAAGCACAUUGGUGUAUAAGUUAUUUCACGUUGAUCAGACCAUGACAAGAAGAUAAAAAAUGACUCGUCAAACAUGACAAAGAAAGCAAGAAAAAAAGAGACGUACCCUAGAAGAAGACUCGUUAGAUGAGCAAAGCUGUCGGCGAUCAAAUUCUAUAUCGUCUGCACCAUCCUCUCCAUAAUGUUUCUUCAACAAUGGCUCCCCCUUGAUUUUAGGAUAUUUGAAACUCAACUUUCUCUUCCUCCAGGCAAGAAGACUACGUUUUGAACUCUGCUCUGCAGAUUGAUUUGCUGCAGUUUUAUCCUCAAGGUACUUGUGCUUUGUGUCUGAAAUAUGAUGGCUGUAGUGGACUAAAUCCUCGUCACUGCUGCUGCUGCUUGUAUUUGAACAAAAUGAUCCACCAGCAUGGUUUGCAUAGACUGGUGCUUCAUAAUUGAAUGACUUCUGAACACUUGUAGCCUCAUUUUCUUUCUCAGAUUCUCGUACCGAAUCCAAAUCAAGUUAAUCGGUAUCCACAGGAUAAACAUAAUUGGGAUCCUCACUUCUGACUGAGUUCCUUCUAUCACUGCUGCUACCUUCCUCUGCAUGAUAUGCCUUCUUGUGUCACCUAAAGGAUAAUGCUUUUCAAAAUUUAACCUUUCGCAGACCUGCUUUUAAAGAACCACCCCCAUUUCUGUCUGUCAACAAAGCCUUUCCAGGGUUCGGAGAUACUGGAGCAGACAUGAUAAACUUCAGAAAUGUCUCUGAAGCUUCUUGAGCGUUCCUCAAUUCCACAAGGUUGAGCACUAGCUGUCAACAAAUAUAUGAACAUAUCUAUAGGAAACAGUCACAUUAGAUAAUAUAUUCAAGUAGCUGUAGGAAUACAAGAACGCAAGUAAAAAGCAUGUGUUUUAGUUUCUCUUACACAGACUGAAAGGCAAUUCUUGAAGCUGCCAACACAUACUUCCAAAGGAACGAAAAUUUCAAUGCACUCUUGUUUAUCUCCUGCUACUGAAGCAAAGUCUGCAAGAUUCAAUGUCACCGCAGAAAGUACGGGUACCUUCUGAUUUGGUCCUUUGCUUGUACCCUGAUUCAGCAGAAGUAUGAAUAAAUACAAAGAAUGGAGUAAAUGAACAAUGAAAUCGAACACAAAGACAACGUGUUCAAUGGAGAAAUUAGUGUUGAUGAAAAGCUAAAACCAAAACUAAAUGAUUAGAAGCACGAAAUAAUAGACCCAUGGAUUGGAAAACACAUGAUUAUCUUGAACGAUAGGUUCAAAGCAAUCAAAGGAACAUGCAGCUAAGGCCAAUGUUGUGCCUAUGGAAGAAGAACAAAUUGCUUCAGUCUCAAACAAGUUGAGAUAUAAGAAUUUACUAUUCCAUUUAAUCUCAGCACAUGUCAUCAUCAUACCAAAUAAAAAUACAAGCGAAAAUAAGUUAUAUAAAAAAAAUAAUUAAAACCUAUUUCCAACUAGUAGAUAUGGCCUAUAUGAGUCUUCAUACUACAUUGUGUAUGAUCUCGUGACCUCCUGGUCACAUGACAACAACUUUACCGGUUAAUCCAAGGCUCCCUUUCAAAAGGGGCAUCGAGAAAAUCGUUUGACUGGUGAAGGGGAAGAAUAAAUUCAACUACUAGGGAUGGUUUUCAAAUAAAAACAAAACAAUAAAAAUCAAGAGGAGUAUAGAACUAAUGUAUUCAUUUAUCUCAACUUCCCUCUUUGAGAGAACCAUAGAAAAGUACUUUUGAGUAGCUCCAUAGUCAUUUACAUUAGCAUUAGCAUUCCUCGAGUACGAAAAAGAAAAGACAAAGAAGAUACCGACGAUCUAGUUACACUCAUAUACGAAUGAAACAAAGAAGAGACUCUCCAUGUCAAAAUUCCUAAAUGGUAUGUAGAACAAAAAGGAUUAGCGCUAUGUAUAUACUCGUAAAGCUUUACCAAUCGUUGCUUAUUCUGCUGCUGCCGAUGGUGCUUUGGCCAAACUAUUAGCAAUCAGUUCUUCUGAAGACAACUCCUCAAACUUGGGGACAAAGCUCAUCUUGUAGUGGAACUCGAUUUGUAGGCACUGAUGAAGGGGUGUCAAUGCCAUCAAUCCUUUCUUUACAUCAUCUUGUAACUCCCUAAUAGGGAUUGCUGCCAAAAAACUCUUAAUGUACUCUUUACAUGCCUCUUUACCUAUAUAAAUGAUGUUCUUUUCAGGUACCCUAUUAAUUAAUAUUUUUCUUUCUACUGUUCAAGUAGAAAAAUACUCCUAAAAUAUGACUACUUUAUUAUUUAAUUAUUUUUUAUUAUAUUAACUAGAUUUCCUAAAAUAUAUGGUAGGAGAAUUAAUUAAUAUUUUCCUUUCUACUCGAUUUUCGUAGGAGAAUUAAUUAAUAAUUUUCUUUCUAUUGUUUGAUUAGAAAAAUACUCAUAAAAUAGGACUCUAUUAAGAAAAUACUCUAUAAAUAUUAAUUAUUUUAUUAUUUUACUUUAAUUUACAGAUGUUAGAUAAAUGUGGGUCGGCUUUGAAUUUUUUUUACAUAAAUGUUAGGUUAAUUGUAUUAUCGUAAUAUCUAUAUUAAUUUGUUAUUUAAUGAUAGUAUACAGUUUGUAAUACUCUAUAAAUAUUAAUUAUUUUAUUAUUUUACUUUAAUUUACAGAUGUUAGAUAAAUGUGGGUCGGCUUUGAAUUUUUUUUAAAAUAAAUGUUAGGUUUAAUUGUAUUAUCGUAAUAUCUAUAUUAAUUUGUUAUUUUGUGGUAGUUUACAGUUUGUAGAUGAAUCUCGAUCGGUUUUUAGAAAUUUUUAUGUGUAAAAUUUAAGUUUAAAUGUAUUAUUUUUAUAUCACUUUUAUCGUAUUAUUUUGUUGCAAUUUACAGGUGAUAGAUAAAUGUUGGUCCGCUUUGAGAAUUUUUUUAUGUAAAAGUUAGGUUUAGUUGUAUUAUUUUGAUAUCUCUAUUAUUGUAUUACUUUGUUAUUGUUUACAGAUGUUAGGUAAGUGUCGAACGAUUUUGAAAAUUUUUUUGUGUGUAAAGAAUAGAUUUAGUUGUGUUAUUUUGAUAUCUCUAUCAUUAUAUUAUUUUGUUAUAAUUUAUAGAUGGUAGAUGAAUGUCGAUCGGCUUUUAAAAAUAUUUUGGUAAAGAGUAGGUUUAAUAAAUAAAUUCUCC
This 7601-nucleotide long non-coding RNA is filed under the name Capsicum annuum. Its description in RNAcentral is "long non-coding RNA (CANN_LNC006090)". Lineage: Eukaryota; Viridiplantae; Streptophyta; Magnoliopsida; Solanales; Solanaceae. The record is from RNAcentral.